Molecule: transfer RNA, 67 nt
Filed under: Geomys knoxjonesi
Lineage: Eukaryota; Metazoa; Chordata; Mammalia; Rodentia; Geomyidae
Description: tRNA-His
Rfam family: tRNA
About the family: Transfer RNA (tRNA) molecules are approximately 80 nucleotides in length. Their secondary structure includes four short double-helical elements and three loops (D, anti-codon, and T loops). Further hydrogen bonds mediate the characteristic L-shaped molecular structure. tRNAs have two regions of fundamental functional importance: the anti-codon, which is responsible for specific mRNA codon recognition, and the 3' end, to which the tRNAs corresponding amino acid is attached (by aminoacyl-tRNA synthetases). tRNAs cope with the degeneracy of the genetic code in two manners: having more than one tRNA (with a specific anti-codon) for a particular amino acid; and 'wobble' base-pairing, i.e. permitting non-standard base-pairing at the 3rd anti-codon position.
Source: RNAcentral
GUAAUUAUAGUUUAUAAAAACAUUAGAUUGUGAAUCUAAAAAUAAAGAUUAAAUUCUUUUAGUUACC